CCUACGGGUGGCAGCAGUGAGGAAUAUUGGUCAAUGGACGAGAGUCUGAACCAGCCAAGUAGCGUGAAGGAUGACUGCCCUAGGGGUUGUAAACUUCUUUUAUAUGGGAAUAAAAUGUUCCACGUGUGGGAUAUUGUAUGUACCAUAUGAAUAAGGAUCGGCUAACUCCGGGCAAGCAGCCGCGGUAAUACGGAGUAUCCGAGCGUUAUCCGGAUUUAUUGGGUUUAAGGGGAGCGGUGGUGGAUUGUUAAGGCAGUUGUGAAAGUUUGCGGCUCAACCGGAAAAUUGCAGUUGAAACUGGCAGUCUUGAGUACAGUAGAGGUGGGCGGAAUUCGUGGUGUAGCGGUGAAAUGCUUAGAUAUCACGAAGAACUCCGAUUGCGAAGGCAGCUCACUGGACUGCAACUGACACUGAGGCUCGAAAGUGUGGGUAUCAAACAGGAUUAGAUACCCGGGUAGUC
This 460-nucleotide ribosomal RNA is filed under the name uncultured bacterium. RNAcentral describes it as "partial 16S ribosomal RNA". It matches the Rfam family "Bacterial small subunit ribosomal RNA", at positions 338 to 795 of the family's 1533-position model. The record is from RNAcentral.